CAACCGGCACUCUGAGUUGUGAGUAGUGUGCUGUUUGGAAGAGCAGUGCCACUGUGUGAUUGCACAUAACAGCACCUGCCACACAGGAGCACUGGCGAUGAAUCCAGAAGCUUAAUCUAAGAAGAAAGAACUAAAAUUAAAAAUGUAACAUCAUCUUCAUGGAAGAGCCAAACAGGAACAUAGUUCAGUGUUAUGGUUACUGACCCCUACAGGCUUACCCUCCUGAAUGCUUAGGGUUUCCUUCUCUCCCUAUUAAAACAAUUUAACCAUCCUUGAUAACUGUAAUAACUUAGAUUGUGUAUAUUUGCAGUAUUAACUUGGUGUAAAUUUGUUUCUGAUCACCCAAACACAUCUGACUAGUCAAAUUAGGUGUGAUAAAGCAGGGGGACAAGGAAAACAUUCAAGUUGAUGGGCCUUCAGGAAUGAACUUAACUAAUGCUUAAAUGAACGGAACCCCACUGAACAGGGAUUAACAACUUUACACAGCUUCCUGCCUACACUUAGUCUGUGUGGUGCCUCACUCUUCCUCAUUGACCUGUAGCACAGAGCUCUCACACAGAC
Molecule: long non-coding RNA, 561 nt
Organism: Oreochromis aureus
Lineage: Eukaryota; Metazoa; Chordata; Actinopteri; Cichliformes; Cichlidae
Source: Ensembl